UACGAAGGGGGCUAGCGUUGCUCGGAAUCACUGGGCGUAAAGGGUGCGUAGGCGGGUCUUUAAGUCAGGGGUGAAAUCCUGGAGCUCAACUCCAGAACUGCCUUUGAUACUGAGGAUCUUGAGUUCGGGAGAGGUGAGUGGAACUGCGAGUGUAGAGGUGAAAUUCGUAGAUAUUCGCAAGAACACCAGUGGCGAAGGCGGCUCACUGGCCCGAUACUGACGCUGAGGCGCGAAAGCUCGGGGAGCGAACGGG
RNAcentral lists this ribosomal RNA (253 nucleotides) under uncultured bacterium. Its description in RNAcentral is "partial 16S ribosomal RNA". It matches the Rfam family "Bacterial small subunit ribosomal RNA", at positions 524 to 776 of the family's 1533-position model. The record is from RNAcentral.